AUGGGGAUGAGGCAAAGCCGGAUCCGGGCGUGUCCCCAUGGGGGGGUCCGGGCGGCCGUGACCCUGCUGGAGUCCGGGGGGGACCUCCAGCCCCCCGGGGGGUCCCUGCGCCUCCUCUGCCGCGCCUCUGGAUUUGAGUUUGGCGAAUUCGGGAUGUACUGGAUCCGCCAGAAACCCGGGAAGGCGCUGGAAUACGUCGCGAGCAUCUACACCGAUGGAUCCUACAUCGACUACGCGCCGUCCGUGCAGGGCCGGUUCACCCUCACCAGGGACAACGGGCAGAGCUCGGUGACGCUGAGCAUGAACAACCUCCAGGACGAGGAUUCCGGGGUUUAUUUCUGUGCUAAAAACGCCUUCAGUUACAUUGGUGCUGAUGAUGUUUCUCGUAUUGACCCCGGCCCAGCCCCGCCUGUCCCCGUGCCCCAGACCCUUCCCCACAGCCCAGCCCUGUCCCCGUUCCCGUCCCUGCCCCCCUGA
Poecile atricapillus (Black-capped chickadee) is the source of this 477-nucleotide non-coding RNA. NCBI's taxonomy places the organism in Eukaryota, Metazoa, Chordata, Aves, Passeriformes, Paridae. The record is from the annotation of a RefSeq genome assembly.